RNAcentral lists this long non-coding RNA (13067 nucleotides) under Capsella rubella. RNAcentral's name for it is "long non-coding RNA (CRUB_LNC001864)". Lineage: Eukaryota; Viridiplantae; Streptophyta; Magnoliopsida; Brassicales; Brassicaceae. The record is from RNAcentral.
GCACUCACAGUGUUCGUCUUGCGGGUCACUAUCAGCUACUACACCGGCUCCAGCCUGUAGAUAUGCCACCCACUCCCGGCGUUUGUUAGCAUCCUUGUAAGAGUACAUUGUAUUGUAUUGACAUGCUGUCGGGAAAACGAUUGUCCUCAGGGACAAAGCAAUGUCCAUGUCACCAGUGAAGGAGACUCCACCAAAACCACCACUGUAUGGUCCACGCCUUGUUGGCUCUAGCUCAUCAAUUAGUUCCAUGGCUUUGACCUUUGGUGCACCACUAACUGUUCCCACUGGUAAAGCCGCACGUAGUGUGUCCCAGCAGGUCAGAUCAUCUUGUAACUCUCCUGUCACCUACACACGUAGACCUUGACAUGAUUAGGAACACUUAACAGGAAUUGAACAGUUUGAUACGAUGGUAAUUAACAAAACUUACCGUUGAGCUUAUAUGCAUAACAUGGGAAUAACGUUCAAUGUUCAUAAGCUUCUCUACUUUCACUGAUCCAUAUUUCGCAACCUUUCCAACAUCGUUGCGACCGAGAUCUACUAACAUGAUGUGCUCAGCACAUUGCUUUUCAUUCUCUAGCAGUUCCUUCUCUAAUCUCUUAUCCUCAACUUCAUCUUUCCCUCUCUUGCUGGUUCCUGCUAAUGGCCGGUUCACUAUCUUGUUCUGCUUGAAAUAUGAUAUAAAGGUCAGCUCAAAUAUGAUAUUAAGAUUUUAUGCAGCUUUGAGAUAAGAGACCUUUUACCUGCUUUACUUUUGUGAGAAUUUCUGGACUUGAUGCUACCAUAAUACAUCCUCUAGCCUGAUUAAGAAGACACAAAAGUAUUAAUGGUUUAUUCACCACAAGUACAAAACCAAAGUUGUAAACGAAAAGUUCCCUCUAUCACCAACCUGCAAAUAACCCAUAUACGGACUUGGAUUCACAACUCUUAGUGCUCUAUAAACUUCAAAGGGGUCUGCAAAUGUUCGCCUCUCAAAACGUUGACUCAGCACGAUCUGGAAUAUGUCUCCUGCAAGUAUAUGUUCUUUGGCCUUGACCACAGCCUCCUUGUACUCUUCGCAUGUCACAUUCGAGUUUGUCAGCGUCGGCCCAAAUUGACGUGUCUGAAGAUUCACGUUACCUGCAGCCAGCUUUGGUCUGUAGAGACAACGGAAAAAAAUCAACUUUUAAGGAUAGUAAUCAAAAGAAGUUCACAAACUAAAUUAAGUGAAAGAUACACCUACCGCUCAGUAUCGUGUAACAUGGCCACCAAGUUCUCCAAAUGUUGCAUUCCGUUACUAUAUGCUUUCUCGUCAGGAAGGCUCCCAUCUUGUCUAAUCCAAUGAAUAACAUAUGCUUUCUGUAGAAAUUGAAUGGAACAUUUAUUAACAGAUUUGGAGAUUUCACAGGUUAAUCAAAAACAUGGAUGGUAACAAAAGUAAUACCUUCUCCACGUGAUCAAAUACAAUUACAUCUUCAUAAAGACCAAGAUGCAUGUCUGGCAAGUUCCUAUCAUCUUCAGGGGCCUUUGAAAAUGGUAAUUUUCUCUUCUCGACAUAGCGAACUGUGUCGUACGAGAAAAAACCAACCCACCCACCUAUCAUGAUAAAGAAAUCUUGUUAAGAGACACCACUUCAGUCUUCAGGAAAAAGGAAGGACACUAAGGUUAAUCAUUUUUCUAUCUAAUAACGCAAGAAAGGACAAUGAAGACAUAAAGGUGAACCGGAGACUAUUGUCUUAAGGGGCAAAAAGGUAGCAGGCGAACUAGAUCAUAUCAGGGAUAUUAUAUUCAGAUCAAGACCAGCACAAUAAAGGGCAUACAGAAAACUCUAUACUUUAUCAGUUGCUCUAGCCUCUAGGGAAACCAGAUGUACGUGUCUAGUACUAGGAAUCCCACGUCCAAAAAUGUAAAAGACCAAAUAUGGUAUGGUAUAUAAAGAACACGAACUACCUACAUUAUUUAGUAAUUGGUUUUGAUGUAGAACCCCAUGGAAACUUGACAUGUACAAAGAUCAUUCAAAAGCAGGAGCUUGCCUCAAGAAAAUCCAUACUAUUAUCACAUUUCCGUAAUCCAUAAAACCAAUGGCUUUAUUUUCUUCAGGCUAAGUAUAUAUAAACAAUCAAGACAAAUAUCUUACCACAAAAAGCAUCUGGAAGGUCCUGAACUAGUUGAGGAUCAGGGUUCCAUUUCUCUGAAAUUUUUCUAGGGAUCUCCAUUGGAUCUUCGACGUAUUCCUCAGUCAUGGUUUCAUUUUUGUGAUCCAUUACAAUAACUUUAUUCUCCUUUGCCACGAUCUCCAUCGCGGGCUGAGCCCCAACAACGCUAUAUCGACCCUGUGAAGAACAAAACAAUCACAACAAAGAAUCAAUUAGGAACUGAUAAAAUAUAUAUAGAAAGAACCGUACAAAGAAAGAUUCAACUUACAACGCUUGACAUCUGAGAACCUGGCUCAACAGACUCAAAAAGAAAGCUAGGAGCUUCACGGUCAUCUUCUUUGACCAGACAACGGUAAGCAAGAACAGGAGUAAGAUGAUCAGAGAAUAUGCAACGGUAAAUUGGUAUAAGGUUUGUGCUCUUAGAAGCAUCUACCAACUUCUUUGUAUCACUUACUGCAAAGAAUCAAAAUAACAUGUAUCAGGACAGUUUUCACAGUAAUCUCUAAAGCUUAACAGCUUGAGGCAUGAAGAUUCACAUUCACAAUCGAAACAACCAAGUUAGUCAGAGAAUUGAAAUUUAUAGCUUAAAUGCAGCUAAUUUCGACCCAUUUCAUCGGUAAAAUCAAACAAUCCAAAACCCAAAUAACAGAAAAGAGCAUUGCUCCACCUAUUGAAGCUUCCGGCGAAACAGAGACGCAUUUAAUCGAGCUGAAAGAAGGCGCGUAUGCCGAGCUUCUACCGGAGUAUCCAGUGACAGUCACAGGAGAAGAGAGUCCGCGUGAAAGGAAAAGCCGGCGAGAGAAGCUCAGAGGUUGCAUCGUCGCUACAUUCAUAGAGGUAGCCAUCGUUGCUGGGUUGGUUACGCCGUUACGGUUGCGAUGUGGCGGCCGGAAUGUUUGAAAAAGAUCGGAGAAGAAGAUUGAGAGGUGACGGCUAAAAAAAAAGGAAACGAUCUUGUUUCACAUUUGACUAAUUGAUUUCAGUUUCACAUUUGACUGGAGAAACAUUGUUGCUGACUGUUUCAGCAAAUUAAAAACUAAAGGACCAAAAAUACAAGAAAGUAAAAGUCUUAAAUCACAAGUGAUAAAAAUUGGCAAAACAAAGUCAAAUCGGCGGGGUGUUAUGUAAUUACAAAUGGAAUAGGGGAAGAAAAAGUAAAAAAAUGAAAACAGUUUGGGGCCAAAAGUUAAAGAAAAAAAUCCAACACGAAAAAAUAAUGAUAUGACCACAACACAAGUCAAGACUAUGGGCUCUUAGUGGGCUCGUUAAAUAAAGGGAACGUCGGAGUCUUCGAACCAUUUAGACGUCUUAAGAUCAUUGUUAAUAACCUUUAGAUACACUGCAAUCUUAGGGCAUCUUUAACCAGAUAUUCGAUCGGUUCUUGUAGUAUUAAAGAAAGUCCAAAUAAUGCAAAUAGUACAUUUUUAAGACCGAAGAUGUUUUCAUUUGAGAGUCUUAGGCCACAUGUAUUCAUGUGAUUGGGUGUGUUUUUUUGUUAGUUUUAAUUGAAAAAUGUUUUUUUUUGUGAAAGAAAACAAAAAAUCCCCAAAUGUUUUUCUCUCUAACCCUAGCCUCCCCAAAUGUUUUUUUUUGUUCAUUUAAUAAAAUGAUUUGUAUUUCAUUUUUAUGUUUAUAUCUUUUUAAGUUUCUAUUUUUAAUUUAUAUGUUACUAUCUUUUAAGUUUAUAAUUUUUAUCUAAACUGUUAAAUAUAUGUUAUUAAUAAUAUUUAUUUGUAUUAUCUUUUUCUUAUUAUUCUUCUCUAAACUGUUCUGUCCUCUAACCUCUUCUUACAUGACUUGAAAGGUUGUUUUCCUUGAACCGGCUGAGGCUCGUGCAGCUAUGAAGGGAAUGGCAUACAAGUGUUACAAGUAAGGCUUUGUCGUUAACUUUGAUCUUUCCCUAAAGUGCUUCUUGGAGAUAUAUGAUUGUCCUUGUUUAACCAAACUGUCUCACCACAUUUCCCUGUUAUUUCAGAGGUUCUCCCCUGUAUCUGGAGUGGGCUCCUGGAGAUAUUCUUGAGCCAGAAGCAGUUGACGAUAACAUAGAAAAGAAGAGUGAUGUCGAAGAAAAUGAUGUGACAAGAGUCAACUCGGAACAGCACGCUGGAAUCAAUUCGGAUAUACCUGAGGUAUAUAAGUCCACUUUAUGAUUGUUUUGAAACCAUAUGUUAUUCCUUUGUGUGGUUUUGAAAAAUAUAGUUGGUAAAAUCUUUGAUUAGCUUGGGCAACUAGAUUUGGUUUUAGUCUUACCUUGUGGGUACGAUAUUUACGGGUUUAGUACACUAUUCUUGUAUGUUUCAGGUUAGGAAUCCUGAUAAUUUAUGUUUAUUAAUUGGCUUGAAAUAUUCUGUUUUCUCACAUAACGUUUCCUUUAAACAAUGCAUUAUAUAUCAGUCAAAUGUCCUUCAUGUAAAGAAUCUGAACUUCAAGACAAGUGAUGAGAGUUUGAAGAAGCAUUUGACUGAACUGGUGACGCAGGGAAAGAUUCUGAGUGUUAAGGUAGGUGCUUGCUCAUUGCUGACAGAUGAUAUGCACAUAACCAUUAGAAGUCGGUUUUUUGUUUUCCUUACUUUUCACUAUAAAGCAGAUAAUAAAUAAUGGGAAGAAUCGUCCUACAAGCAAUUAUGGUUUUGUAGAAUUUGACUCAAUAGAGACAGCGACCAGUGUUCUGAAGGUAUAUAUUAUCUAGUUAAGUCUCUCUCUUUGAAAUUUGAAUCGAUGAAGUACGGUGACACUUUUUUUUCUUUUUUGUUGGUAGGGAAGAAGAAGUGUUUUGGAUGAUCAUGAAUUGAUCUUGAGUUACUUUGAAAGCAAGCAGUGUGAAACGGUUGGGGAAGGUUCAGACAAGGACAAAACUAUGAAAAAAUUAUGUGUGAAGAAUGUAGCUUUUGAAGCAACCAUAAAAGAACUGAGACAGCUGUUCAUUCCGUUUGGACAGGUGCACACUUCUGGUGCACAGCUUAUUAGUUCCAUUUACAAGUCAUGCAUGAACACAAGUUCUAUAUUGUAUUUGGAACGAAACAGAACUUGUAUUUGGAACAAGAUGUAUUUGGAUAUAAUUCUUUUUUGGUUCUUGUUCAUGCAGGUCAAGAGUGUUAGGAUUCCAAAGAAGAAUGCGAAAAAUGGGUUUUAUUGAAUUUGGGACAAAGCAAGAAGCUUUAAACACGAAAAAGGCAUUAUCCAGCAGCACCCAUUUCUAUGGACGCGCUUUGGUAAGUCUUGUGUUGCCUAGUCAUCUCUAUAGCCUGUUCAUUUUGACAUCCUUGGAUGCAUACUCAACCAUCUCUGUAUGAGGUCUUUGCAGGUGAUCGAGUGGGCUAAGAAGGAAGACAAGAGCGUGGAAGCGAUCAGAAAAUCUUGUGCUGCCAAGUUUGUGGACCAAGAAAACAAUAAUCCAAAGAAACGGAAAAUGCUCGAUUGUUGUUAGUGGUGAAAGAAGUUUGAGAGAAACUAUUUAGUAGAAAUAUACUAUUUGUUCCCUUAAUUAAUGUACUCAUCAUAUCUUCGAUUCAGUACUAUUUUUAUGGUAAAAAAAAAAAUAAAAAAAAAUAACGAAAAUUAGAAUCCCUAAUGGCUUGCUUGUGCUUAGAAUUGAACUUGAUCAAACCAAAACCGGUAGAGUUUUGUUGAAGCGAAAGUAGCUGUCAAACACAAGAUCAUACGACUCAAGUUUACCCCAAAUAUGUCCCUGGCGUCUUUCAAUCGCGAUCUGUGCACACCAAAUCUCUUUUCUUAUAGUCGACCUAUCUUCACCUUUAAUGAAGAACACAGCUAGUCUCCUCCAACCAUAAGUCACAGUGUCUGACCAUUUAAAGGCUGUAUGAGGGAAAAAUUCUUCCAAACCUUUCACCACUUCCCAGCACUUGUGCUUAGAAUCAUACACUCUUAACUUGUUCUCAUAAGGAUCAUAGUAGUACAAUAGGUCAUCAAGAACGCAACCACGGUACCACUUAUUAGAAUUCAAAAUCUCGUCCGGUUCCCAUUUAUCUUCCUUUGGCUCGUAAACAAAGCUCUCGUCAAAACGAGAAUCCCUCACGUACAUCUUACCCGCAAUCACCACGUUGUCAUACCAGAACCGACGUAACUCUUUGCUUGGCUUCGUUGUCAUCUCAGGCUCCCACGUUUGUGUUUCUGUAUUGAACACCAGCAUUACCUUCAUUAAAUUUGCAAGGUCAUGUUCGAACACUGAUCCCAUUACGAAAAUCUUUUUGUCGAUGACGUCAAGGAGCUUUCUAGCCUUGGGUCCAUGAGGGUUCUCGGAGAAGGGCUGCACAGUGUGAGACGUACAGUCUAUGCUAAAGGAACCUGAUCUCGAGAACCCACUUAACACAUAGAUCUUGGAACCAACCGAGACAUAACUUGCUUGGAAAGGCAUAGGAGGAAGCGACGCGAUACGGACAAAAGAGCAACUGUUGACGUUGUUUCCUUUCAGACGACGACGAAGAACAUACAAAUGAUAUCUAUUAGUUUCGUAAUCCAAGAGAGCAGAAUAGAUACAAGCUUCGGUGCAGCCCAACAAGGAUCGUCUACGGUAUAGCUCACACGAUGAAACGAGUGACCGGAAGUAUUUAGAGACAAGGCAGAGAUUUGGAUAGUCCCAUCUCGACACAUGCGCUAUAAUAUCGACGAUGAUGUCGUCAGGAAGUGACGUAAUCAUCAGACGCGCGCGGAGAGGUUCCUUCUAACAAACAGCCACCCACCGAGAGAAGAACCAAGACCAGCCCUAAAAUUCACUACUCCUUCUAAUGGACUUAUUAGAUUUUGCCAUAUUUAAAAUAAAAUAAUUUAUUUAUAACAACUUUAAAAUAUGUAUGGAGAUAAUUAUAAAUAUAUUUAGAAGUUACCAAUAUACUUUUUCAGUUAAUAAAUCUACAACAAAAAUAAUUUCCUUUUUUUAAAAAAAAAAAAUAUGGAUUAUAAGGCAAAUUAGGCAAUUUUACAUUUAACUACUAUGAUGAUACCAUAAUUAAGGAGAAAAGUAUUAAAUUACUUAUCAAAGUUACAAAUUUGAUAGGAGCAUGGCUUAUUUUUACGAGAAUUUAAAAAUAAUAAUUUUUAGAGCUUCAUUAAUGAAGUCUAAUUGCAAUCCUCACCAUAUCAAGAAAAAAGCUCUGUUCUGCUUGUAACUGUUUUAUACACGUUAAAUUCGGAGUCUCAAAGAAAGCCUCUGUUCUUGGGCACAUUCAUUUUUUAACAAAUGCAGAUUCAGCCAAGUCAAUUGCUCGAGCAAGACCAGCUGCUUUGUUCUGGCACUCACAGUGUUCGUCUUGCGGGUCACUAUCAGCUACUACACCGGCUCCAGCCUGAAGAUAUGCCAUGCGGGAAAACAUGCUGGUUAUGAUUUUAUUGAAUUUGGGACAAAGGAAGAAUCUUGAAACGCGAAAAAGCCAUUAUCCAGUAGCACCCAUUUCUAUGGACUCCCUUUGGUGAGUGUUAUGUGCUAUUGUGUACUCAUCCUUGGAUGCAUCCUCAACUCUGUAUUUGACGUCUUUUCAGGUGCUAGAGUGGGCCAAUGAUAAAAAAAUCGACCCAAAAGCGUCCUGCUGCCAAGUAUGUGGACCAAGAAAACGAUAAUUCAAAGAAAAGGAAAAGCUUGACAGUUUUAGUGAAAGAAAAAUUAAUCAAGUUUGAAAGGAUAGCUGAAUAGGCCCUAUCUAUAUAGUUUGUGUUGAGUAUAUUAUAUAUUGAGCAUGGUGUUUAAGUCUCUUUUGUGAUUCUCCAUGGUUGAAGAAUUGAAGCCUUUUAAUUUAUAUUUUAUAGAUGGUUUUGGAACAGAAAUGAUACAAACAUAUCCCAAGCAAAUAAUCUUGAACAUGGUUCUAGUGAAAACUAGAUUUUGACCCGCGGUACACCACGGGACGAUAUUCUAAAAUGUUUUUUUUUUUUUUUUGGUAUAUAAGCGAGUAAUAAUAUUUUGAUUGUUAAUUAUAUGAUUUAACCCGUAAAAUAUUAUAUGAUAAUUUCCUAUAAUAUAUAAUUGUAAUUUGAUCAAAUUAAUUAAAAUAAGUCUAAUAUUAAAAUAAUAAAAUGAUAUUGACAUAGUAUCUUUCCUUUACAUAGUAUAAUUUUAUAUUUAAAAUUUUUGUGAGUUAUAAUAUAGUAGACAACCCGUAAAAAUAUCUAUAAUCAUAAUUAUGUAAAGUAUAACUCGCUGCAUCACAUGACCCGUGAUACACAAUUAUCAAUAAUACUUUAGGUUAUACAUUUUUGUAUCGUUUGAGUAAUAUAUAUCCGUUUCUAACAAUUCAAAUUGCAACAUAUGCAAAAAAAAUUAUAUUUUUAUUAUACAUAUGUUUAUGUAAUAAUAUAAAUUUAAAAACAAAUAAUAUCAUAUAAAUAUGUUGGAGAAAUCUUUGAUUUAUUAGGGAGAGAUUUUAGGAAAUUUUGUUAAAUGUAAUAAAUAUUGAUUUUUAAUUUUGCAAAUUUAGUUUUAUUUAAUUACAAAAUUUAUCUUAAACUUUUUCUAUUUAAUCAAAUUGCAAUGGUUUAAUUAUGUAAAUAUGACAAAAUAAAAAGGUAGAACACAAAAGGUAUAAUAUAGAUAUGUCCAAGAUAUAACAUAAUUUACUUUUGUUCUUGAUUUUUUUUGCGUCAAUGGUUUUAUGGCAAUUUUUUGAAAAUAUUCGCGGUAACAACUAACAACCAAUAUAGAUAGAAAAAAAAUUGUGGCUCUUUUGAUGGUCUACAGCACAGCAUAACAACCAAUCACACUUCAUGUAAGUGUAUUUUACUUGGUGAAUUAAUCACACUAUUAUCCACAAUAAAGAGUUAUUUUUCUUACCUUGUUUUUUACAAAGCUUUCUCAAAAUGCUUUUAAUACAACGAGAAGAAACGCAAAACCCCAAAUGACAUUUAACAGAUGUCAAGAUCAGGCCUUAUCUAAGGGAAUUUAAGGGCUUGAAAACGAUUCUGGAGUUGCUUCUUUUGAUCUGAUUCUCACAAACUCUGUUUUGUUGUCAAAGAGCCGUUGCAGUUUUGGUCGGACGCAAACUGGGCCUUUCAUCACCUUGGUCCAUCUUGGUUUUGCCUUUCUAACUUGCUAGAAUACGAUUGGGCUUGACUUCUUGUUGGCCCAUCAUUGGUUUUUGGCACUAUUUUUUCACAGAGGCUAAAUUGAUUGUUCUACUAAAAAAAAGUUCUCUAAAGAAGAAAAAAAAGAAAAAAAAAACGAUUGCGGCAACCUACUCAGAUCUUAUCGGGGCUGGUGCUCAGUGGUCCUCCGUGAACCGUCGCCGGCCCCUCCUCCUUUUAUUUCCUUGUCUACGUGAUUUCUCUGUGCUCAGUUAUAUAUGUUGCUUCUUCUAUGUGAAGAGCCUCUUAGAGGAGAGGAGAUCCCGUCGAAGAGGAGAUCGCGUGUGCAGCUCUGUUCUUUCGGUGGUCUCUCUGAAAUAUCCAAUUCGAAGCUCCUGUACUGUUCAACAGUUCUCGGUGAGCUUCUUUUGUCGGGUGAAUUCAUGUCUUUAGCUUUCCGGAUCGGAUCUGAGCUGGUUCAGAGGCUUGCCGGAAGCGUCGACCGGCUAAGGCUCAGGGUGAUGUUUACGGUUUAGUAUUGAGCUCCGGUAACCCGGUUCCUGGGUGGUGACAUGCCGGCGCUUCCUAGGGUCUUCUCAAAGCUUUCUAACUAUACCACAAUCAACCGGUCCAGUAUGGUUAUUGUAAUUUCUAUCCGAAAUCAAUCCACAAUUGUGGUUCAGUACAAGAACCGGUUUAAACCGGAUAAAUUCUGUUAGAUCCAAAUAAAAGCUUCAAGGCGCGGAGCGAAGUCUUCAAACCCAAGAAAGUUCUCGGAGAGAACAAGUGAAGAGAACAAGUGAAGCAAGAAGGGGCGCCAUUGGAGAAAUUUCUCCGAGAGAAGAAGUUGAAAUUCUCCGGUGAUCAUGAGUGAUGCUCGAGAAGAAACGGACGCGGAUAUGGCAGGCGAAGAAGUAUCUCCACAUCUCGAUGGAUACCUUAUGCUGGGAAAGAUAGGCGAAGGAACUUUCAGGUAAACUCUUCUUCUCACUUUCUUCGAAGUUUUCAUUCUUCUUCCUCGUUCUUUAUAAGCGAAUUUUUGUUGUACUCACUAGUUUCAUUCUUCUUCCUCGCUUCUUGAUCAAUUUUGUUUACUUCUUUAUCUCUUGCUAAUUUAGUAAUUUGUGAUUCUUAGUUUCUUAAGAGAUCGGAACCUAUUAGGGUUUAUGCUAGAUAAGUACAUCUUUCAAUUGCAUUUGGGUGCCUAAAGAAAUUGAAACUAGUGAAUCGUGGCUUGUGGUUAUUCAUUUCACGCAUCUGCUGUUUAAGAGAUCGGAACCUGUAUGAUUAGGGUUUAUGCUAGAUAAGUACAUCUUUCCAUUGCAUUUGGGUGCCUUGUGAUUUUGAUUUUGUUUCUGAACCGAAACUAAUAUUGAUCUGGCUGUGUUUGCAUUGUUGCUAUCUGUUUCCCUUUUCUUCUUCGAAUGGACUCUUAAUAUAAUGCAGUCAAGGCUAAAUUUAUCAAAACCGGUGAAGUUUUAUGCUUACUGUUUAUGUUUGUUUUUGGUCUUUUGCAGUAAGGUUUAUAGAGCUACAGACUCCUUAACCAGUACAAUGGUGGCGGUAAAAGAAUUAAAGCUUGAGAUGUAUGGUGGCAUAUCACAAUUAGGGUCUGAAGAAUUGCCUUUUUAUGCAAGCCGUGAGAUACGCAUCCUACAAAAGCUUACUCAUCCUAAUGUGAUCAGUUUGAAAGAAGUACUGACUCCUUCAAGUAAUAAAAUCUGACACUUUCCUUUGAAGAUAGGUGAAGUAAAGCUUGAGUAUUUUGCCUAAUUCUUGUGCCUUUGCUUCCAUUUUGAUUAGAUAAGAACAUAGGAGGAAUCUACAUGGUUUUCGAGUACAUGGAUUCUGACUUGUCUAAACUUGCCAAAGAAGAGAUUACGGCUCCUGACAUUAAGGUAAUUCCAUCUCGUAUAGACACACUUCAUUGUCAUAGUCUGCAGUAAACCGAAAUUCUUCUUCUCUCACUUUUAAACCUCUUUUUCACAGAAUUACAUGAAGCAGUUGCUCGCUGGACUUGAGUACUGUCAUGAGAAUCAAGUUCUUCACCGUGAUAUUAAAGGUGAACAGUCACUAAUCUUAUCUUCUUGCUUACUUGCCAGUUGGUUCUUCUUACGUACUUGCUACAUAAUACAUUUAAAAAACAUUUCAGGUGCAAAUAUACUGGUUUGCGAGAAUGGAAAUUUAAAACUUGCGGAUUUUGGGCUUGCAUGUUGUUUAAAGGAGGAUGAUGUAGAUCUUAAGGAUGUAUUUCCUGCCGUAUCAGACUCAACAUUUCCUGGUGAUCGUAAAUUGCAAGACAUGAUGAAUGAGCUUACAAGCGAAGUCAUUAGCUUUCUCUAUAAGCCACCUGAAAUCUUAACUGGGUCACGUCAAUACGGUCCAGAAGUGGACGUGUGGUCAGUAGGGAUAGUAUUUGCGCAGCUGUUGAAUAAGGGAGUCCACAUCUUGUGUGGUGUUGAUAGAGAUGAUCAGUUAAAGAAGAUUUAUGAGCUUUGCGGACCACCAUCUAAUGAAGAAAACUUGCCCGGGUUUUCUGAAAAGGUGCCUUCUCAGCCUAUGAAGACAUGUCUGAGAGACAAAUAUCCAAAGUAACUUAUUUAUCUCACUUGCUUUGCUCUAUUCUCUUUUCUGAGGCUUCUUUAUUCUGACUCUUUUUUCUGGAUUUCUUCCACAGCUUUGAUCGCAAAGCUCUUGAUCUUUUGGCCAGAAUGUUGGUGAUUGAUCCGUCCGAGGUAAUGUGAUUGAAAGAGUUAGCAAAAUGAUUAAGAUAUCAAAAAGGUUCUUUCCAUUGAAGUCUUUGUUUUUUCUUGUGUGUAGAGAAUCACAGCCACUGCUGCUCUUGCUCAUCCUUAUUUUCUGGACUGAUCGACUCCAUAUGACUUGAAAGAUGCAAUACAACAAUGCUUGAAGAAGAAGCAGCAGCAAAGAGACAUUAUUCUGACUCCAACAGAGUUUAAAAUGUAUAACUUUUGACAAAAUAGUUAGUGAAUCCAUAUAUUCUCUUGUUAGUAACCGGAUUAAACCAAACAGUGAAAUGGGAAUUUUCUGGUUCGGGUUAAACAUUAAACCGAAUGCCAAAGCUUUAAGGGAACACCGCUUGAAUGAUCUGGUUAGGUACAAUAGCCGGUUUAAUCCGGAGAAAAUUACACGCCGUAAAUACCAGUCUCCCUCGAAUCAUCUCCCACUCGCUGUCUCUCCCUUGCAUCAGCGAGUGGCAAUGAUGCCAUUCAAAAUAUGCAUUGGAUGGAUGCCCGGACAUUGAGAAGGAAGGACACUUUCAGAGGCGAAAUUAUAAAGAUAUUUAGAAGUUACCAAUACACUUUUUCAGUUAAUAAAUCUACUACAAAAAUAAUUUCCUUUUUCUUUUUUUAAAAAAAUAUGGAUUAUAAGGCAAAUUAGGCAAUUUUACAUUUAACUACUAUGAUGAUACCAUAAUUGAGGAGAAAAGUAUUAAAUUAUUUAUCGAAUUUACAAAUUUGAUAGGAGCAUGGCUUAUUUUUACGAGAAUUUAAAAAUAAUAAUUUUUAGAGCUUCAUUAAUGCAAUCCUCACCAUAUCAAGAAAAAAGCUCUUGUUCUUGGGCACAUUCAUUUUUUAACAAAUGCAGAUUCAGCCAAGUCAAUUGCUCGAGCAAGACCAGCUGCUUUGUUCUGGCACUCACAGUGUUCGUCUUGCGGGUCACUAUCAGCUACUACACCGGCUCCAGCCUGAAGAUAUGCCAUGCGGGAAAACAUGCUGGUUAUGAUUUUAUUGAAUUUGGGACAAAGGAAGAACAUGCUGUCGGGAAAACGAUUGUCCUAAGGGACAAAGCAAUGUCCAUGUCACCAGUGAAGGAGACUCCACCAAAACCACCACUGUAUGGUCCACGCCUUGUUGGCUCUAGCUCAUCGAUCAGUUCCAUGGCUUUGACCUUUGGUGCACC